Caenorhabditis elegans is the source of this 88-nucleotide non-coding RNA. Lineage: Eukaryota; Metazoa; Nematoda; Chromadorea; Rhabditida; Rhabditidae. The record is from Ensembl.
ACCUCCUGUAUUUUCUUUGGAUUGGCCAUGGAAUGCUGUCGCAUUCCGCGGUUAGUGCCACCUUAUUCAAAGAAGCCUAACCGCGGUG